CUGUACUUGGCACUGGUGAGACUGCACCUUGAGUACUGUGUUCAGUUUUGGGCCACUCAGUACAAGAAAGACAUUGAGGCCCUGGAGUGUUUCCAGAGAAGGGCAACAAAACUGUGAGGGGUCUGGAGCACAAGUCUGAUGGGGAGCAGCUGAGAGAGCUGGGAUUGUUCAGUCUGGAGAAGAGGAGGCUCAGGAGAGACCUUAAUGCUUUCUACAGCGGCCUGAAAGGAGGUUGCAGCAAGGUGGAGGUUGGCCUCUUCUACCAGGUAACAGUGAUAGGACUAGAGGUAAUGGCCUUAAGUUGCUUCAGGAGAGGUUCAGGUUGGAUAUGAGGAAACAUUUCUUCUCAGAAGGAGGGGUGAGGCAAUGGCACAGGCUGCCCAGGGAGGUGGUGGGGUCAUCAUCCCUGGAGGUGCUCUGUGGAUGUGGCACUGAGGGAUGUGGUCAGUGGGCAUGAUGGAGAUGGGCUGGUGGUUGGACUAGGUGAUGUGAUGGACCUUUUCCAACCUUAAUGAUUCUAUGACUCUGUAACAGCGUCCAAGCUUCCAAUAGCAAAUCCAGAUAAGAGUGUGUUGAUGCCUGCCCCUGUCCCUGACCUUGCCUGUCCUUCCCUGCAGCCUGUGACGUGCUGCUGUUCCCACGCUGUAUCCUGAGACAAGUCUUCACCACUGGUAGCAGUGCUGGUAGCACUGGAUGGAGAUGCUGCUCACAGCGAGAAACACUGCUUUCUUCUUGGCUCCAAGCUGGCCACCAGCCCUCCCAGGGCUUUAGGGAACUUAAUACAGACUCGCUUAUCCUGAGCGGAGCGCUGUGGAAAGGCCCCCCUGCUCCAUCAGCCGUUCAUCUGUCUGCAAUUGAGAUCUCCCUGGAGAAGGAUCACAGGAGAUGACCCUUGACCUCUGGAAAUAUGUGCUGACCACAACUACACAGCCUGGGCUCCUCUUUGCUUCUGAAGGGAAAUUCAGCAGUGCUUCCUCAGCCUGGCUGUCCUGGUUUCUCCGAGGAACUUCAGACAGGAGCCUGGAAGGGCUGGACAGAGAGUCCCGAUGGAAAUGCGCCGAAUAGAGUGGACCAGGGAAAAAGUAAAAAACUGUUGAUUUAAUAAAAGUAGAUAAAGAAGGGCA
This 1124-nucleotide long non-coding RNA is filed under the name Numida meleagris (helmeted guineafowl). RNAcentral describes it as "lncRNA (ENSNMEG00000017742.1)". The record is from RNAcentral. Lineage: Eukaryota; Metazoa; Chordata; Aves; Galliformes; Numididae.